This 526-nucleotide long non-coding RNA is filed under the name Zonotrichia albicollis (white-throated sparrow). RNAcentral's name for it is "lncRNA (ENSZALG00000009035.1)". Lineage: Eukaryota; Metazoa; Chordata; Aves; Passeriformes; Passerellidae. The record is from RNAcentral.
AUGGUAACUACCUUCCUUAGGCUUUUCAGCUACCAGGCACUCUUCAAGAGAUGCAAAGUAAAUUAAUCUGUACCUUAAUUGAAAAAUCACAGCACAGCAAGUAAUGGAAACUCAGCAGCAUCCAGCCUGCAGAUGAGUUUCAGGUCUGCCUAUGCCCCGGUGACAGUUCCAUAACCAGCCCUAAGGCCUCCAGCAGUGGAUUCUCCCAGGCCUCCCUCCAGAGUGAGCCCCAGUCUAAAGGAAUGUAAAAAAAAUUGCAUCUGAGCUUUCAAGUAACAAGUUGCACACAGGGGACUUGCUGUGAAGAGCUGUUGAAAUGUAAGGUGCUAAGACUUAUAACAAGAUCCUGGCCAAAAAAUAACAGCUUUAAGAGUCAAGAACUUGUCAAGAAGCAGCUUCAUUGACCAUGCCUUCAAAAGCAGUGAGAGCAUUAAACAUAAUAUUUUACUGGGAAAGGCUGGAAAUGCAAAGUAUUUUUGGCCUGAUACAGUAAAUAAUUUUCUUUUUUUGGUAUGGCAAAUAAAGG